GAUGAACGCUGGCGGCGUGCCUAAUACAUGCAAGUCGAGCGAACAGACGAGGAGCUUGCUCCUCUGACGUUAGCGGCGGACGGGUGAGUAACACGUGGAUAACCUACCUAUAAGACUGGGAUAACUUCGGGAAACCGGAGCUAAUACCGGAUAAUAUAUUGAACCGCAUGGUUCAAUAGUGAAAGACGGUUUUGCUGUCACUUAUAGAUGGAUCCGCGCCGCAUUAGCUAGUUGGUAAGGUAACGGCUUACCAAGGCGACGAUGCGUAGCCGACCUGAGAGAGUGAUCGGCCACACUGGAACGGAGACACGGUCCAGACGCCUACGGGAGGCAGCAGUAGGGAAUCUUCCGCAGUGGGCGAAAGCUUGACGGAGCAACGCCGCGUGAGUGAUGAAGGUCUUGGGAUCGUAAAACUCUGUUAUUAGGGAAGAACAAAUGUGUAAGUAACUAUGCACGUCUUGACGGUACCUAAUCAGAAAGCCACGGCUAACUACGUG
Molecule: ribosomal RNA, 497 nt
Filed under: uncultured bacterium
Lineage: Bacteria
Description: partial 16S ribosomal RNA
Rfam family: Bacterial small subunit ribosomal RNA
Source: RNAcentral